GUAUGUGAUUAUUGAAACAAUAAAGAAGAUUAGCAUGGCCCCUGUACAAAGACAUGAAAAUUUGUGAAACAUUUCAUAUUAGG
This 83-nucleotide small nuclear RNA is filed under the name Meriones unguiculatus (Mongolian gerbil). The record is from RNAcentral. Lineage: Eukaryota; Metazoa; Chordata; Mammalia; Rodentia; Muridae.